AUUGUUCUUAGAUCUCCCAACUUUUUAUCACUUUACCACUGCAUCACCAUUCUCUCAACUUCUCUUUUUCUCUCACUUUCUCUCAUUGGAAAAGCAUUGCACUAAAUGCUUUCGUCUCUGUGAGUCCAGCCACUACCAAGAUUGCCACCUUCUCCUCAUCUCGCUUUCCUCACUCCACUCUCAUCUCCUUCUCUCCACCUCCAUGCCUUCCUAUCUCUGAUCAUUUUCAAUAAAAAAUUACUGGUGAACCUCUAUCUAAACGAAAACCUCCCAAAGAUUCAUCUUUUCAACGAAUAUCAGAGACUUCAGACGAUAUCGGUAGAGAUCUAGUCGAAAACAUUUAUUUUCUCCACUUGGAGAAUUUCAUGAAAUCUAUAUAUUGGACGAUGAACCACCACCAAAAUGAAAACCUCCCAAAGCUUCAUUUUUUUAGCAAAUGUCGUACAAUUCCGACAAUAUAGGUAGAGGUCUAGCCAGAUCUAGUCGGAAAGAUUUGUUUACUUUGUUUGAAGACUCCCAUAAAAUAUAUAUAUAUGAUGGUGAACCUUAAUCAAAAUGAAAACCUCUCAAAAUUUCAUCUUUUUUCAUGAAUGUCAGAGAAUUCUGAGGAUACAUGUGGAGAUCUGAAUAGAUUUGAUCGAAAAUGUUUGUUUUAUUCAUUCGGAGAAUUCCACAAAAUCGAUGUAUCUGAUAGAUUUUCAUGUUGUUGAUACAUAGAAUAAUGUAUCUGACUAACGUUAUGUAUCAAACUGAUGUUAAUGUUCUAGAUACACAAAC
Molecule: long non-coding RNA, 777 nt
Filed under: Capsicum annuum
Lineage: Eukaryota; Viridiplantae; Streptophyta; Magnoliopsida; Solanales; Solanaceae
Description: long non-coding RNA (CANN_LNC015659)
Source: RNAcentral